UACGAAGGGGGCUAGCGUUGUUCGGAAUCACUGGGCGUAAAGCGCACGUAGGCGGAUUCGUACGUCAGGGGUGAAAUCCCGGGGCUCAACCUCGGAACUGCCUUUGAUACUGCGGGUCUUGAGUCCGAUAGAGGUGGGUGGAAUUCCUAGUGUAGAGGUGAAAUUCGUAGAUAUUAGGAAGAACACCGGUGGCGAAGGCGGCCCACUGGAUCGGUACUGACGCUGAGGUGCGAAAGCGUGGGGAGCGAACAGG
Molecule: ribosomal RNA, 253 nt
Filed under: uncultured bacterium
Lineage: Bacteria
Description: partial 16S ribosomal RNA
Rfam family: Bacterial small subunit ribosomal RNA
Source: RNAcentral